Molecule: ribosomal RNA, 240 nt
Filed under: uncultured bacterium
Lineage: Bacteria
Description: partial 16S ribosomal RNA
Rfam family: Bacterial small subunit ribosomal RNA
Source: RNAcentral
GAUCCUGGCUCAGGAUGAACGCUAGCUACAGGCUUAACACAUGCAAGUCGAGGGGAAACGACAUCGAAAGCUUGCUUUUGAUGGGCGUCGACCGGCGCACGGGUGAGUAACGCGUAUCCAACCUGCCCAUCACUUGGGAAUAACCUUNCGAAAGUAAGACUAAUGCCCAAUGAUAUCCCACGAAGGCAUCCGAAUGGGAUUAAAGAUUUAUCGGUGAUGGAUGGGGAUGCGUCUGAUUAG